Molecule: ribosomal RNA, 2904 nt
Filed under: Escherichia coli
Lineage: Bacteria; Pseudomonadati; Pseudomonadota; Gammaproteobacteria; Enterobacterales; Enterobacteriaceae
Description: 23S ribosomal RNA
Rfam family: Bacterial large subunit ribosomal RNA
Source: RNAcentral
GGUUAAGCGACUAAGCGUACACGGUGGAUGCCCUGGCAGUCAGAGGCGAUGAAGGACGUGCUAAUCUGCGAUAAGCGUCGGUAAGGUGAUAUGAACCGUUAUAACCGGCGAUUUCCGAAUGGGGAAACCCAGUGUGAUUCGUCACACUAUCAUUAACUGAAUCCAUAGGUUAAUGAGGCGAACCGGGGGAACUGAAACAUCUAAGUACCCCGAGGAAAAGAAAUCAACCGAGAUUCCCCCAGUAGCGGCGAGCGAACGGGGAGCAGCCCAGAGCCUGAAUCAGUGUGUGUGUUAGUGGAAGCGUCUGGAAAGGCGCGCGAUACAGGGUGACAGCCCCGUACACAAAAAUGCACAUACUGUGAGCUCGAUGAGUAGGGCGGGACACGUGGUAUCCUGUCUGAAUAUGGGGGGACCAUCCUCCAAGGCUAAAUACUCCUGACUGACCGAUAGUGAACCAGUACCGUGAGGGAAAGGCGAAAAGAACCCCGGCGAGGGGAGUGAAAAAGAACCUGAAACCGUGUACGUACAAGCAGUGGGAGCACGCUUAGGCGUGUGACUGCGUACCUUUUGUAUAAUGGGUCAGCGACUUAUAUUCUGUAGCAAGGUUAACCGAAUAGGGGAGCCGAAGGGAAACCGAGUCUUAACUGGGCGUUAAGUUGCAGGGUAUAGACCCGAAACCCGGUGAUCUAGCCAUGGGCAGGUUGAAGGUUGGGUAACACUAACUGGAGGACCGAACCGACUAAUGUUGAAAAAUUAGCGGAUGACUUGUGGCUGGGGGUGAAAGGCCAAUCAAACCGGGAGAUAGCUGGUUCUCCCCGAAAGCUAUUUAGGUAGCGCCUCGUGAAUUCAUCUCCGGGGGUAGAGCACUGUUUCGGCAAGGGGGUCAUCCCGACUUACCAACCCGAUGCAAACUGCGAAUACCGGAGAAUGUUAUCACGGGAGACACACGGCGGGUGCUAACGUCCGUCGUGAAGAGGGAAACAACCCAGACCGCCAGCUAAGGUCCCAAAGUCAUGGUUAAGUGGGAAACGAUGUGGGAAGGCCCAGACAGCCAGGAUGUUGGCUUAGAAGCAGCCAUCAUUUAAAGAAAGCGUAAUAGCUCACUGGUCGAGUCGGCCUGCGCGGAAGAUGUAACGGGGCUAAACCAUGCACCGAAGCUGCGGCAGCGACGCUUAUGCGUUGUUGGGUAGGGGAGCGUUCUGUAAGCCUGCGAAGGUGUGCUGUGAGGCAUGCUGGAGGUAUCAGAAGUGCGAAUGCUGACAUAAGUAACGAUAAAGCGGGUGAAAAGCCCGCUCGCCGGAAGACCAAGGGUUCCUGUCCAACGUUAAUCGGGGCAGGGUGAGUCGACCCCUAAGGCGAGGCCGAAAGGCGUAGUCGAUGGGAAACAGGUUAAUAUUCCUGUACUUGGUGUUACUGCGAAGGGGGGACGGAGAAGGCUAUGUUGGCCGGGCGACGGUUGUCCCGGUUUAAGCGUGUAGGCUGGUUUUCCAGGCAAAUCCGGAAAACUAAGGCUGAGGCGUGAUGACGAGGCACUACGGUGCUGAAGCAACAAAUGCCCUGCUUCCAGGAAAAGCCUCUAAGCAUCAGGUAACAUCAAAUCGUACCCCAAACCGACACAGGUGGUCAGGUAGAGAAUACCAAGGCGCUUGAGAGAACUCGGGUGAAGGAACUAGGCAAAAUGGUGCCGUAACUUCGGGAGAAGGCACGCUGAUAUGUAGGUGAAGUCCCUCGCGGAUGGAGCUGAAAUCAGUCGAAGAUACCAGCUGGCUGCAACUGUUUAUUAAAAACACAGCACUGUGCAAACACGAAAGUGGACGUAUACGGUGUGACGCCUGCCCGGUGCCGGAAGGUUAAUUGAUGGGGUCAGCGCAAGCGAAGCUCUUGAUCGAAGCCCCGGUAAACGGCGGCCGUAACUAUAACGGUCCUAAGGUAGCGAAAUUCCUUGUCGGGUAAGUUCCGACCUGCACGAAUGGCGUAAUGAUGGCCAGGCUGUCUCCACCCGAGACUCAGUGAAAUUGAACUCGCUGUGAAGAUGCAGUGUACCCGCGGCAAGACGGAAAGACCCCGUGAACCUUUACUAUAGCUUGACACUGAACAUUGAGCCUUGAUGUGUAGGAUAGGUGGGAGGCUUUGAAGUGUGGACGCCAGUCUGCAUGGAGCCGACCUUGAAAUACCACCCUUUAAUGUUUGAUGUUCUAACGUUGACCCGUGAUCCGGGUUGCGGACAGUGUCUGGUGGGUAGUUUGACUGGGGCGGUCUCCUCCUAAAGAGUAACGGAGGAGCACGAAGGUUGGCUAAUCCUGGUCGGACAUCAGGAGGUUAGUGCAAUGGCAUAAGCCAGCUUGACUGCGAGCGUGACGGCGCGAGCAGGUGCGAAAGCAGGUCAUAGUGAUCCGGUGGUUCUGAAUGGAAGGGCCAUCGCUCAACGGAUAAAAGGUACUCCGGGGAUAACAGGCUGAUACCGCCCAAGAGUUCAUAUCGACGGCGGUGUUUGGCACCUCGAUGUCGGCUCAUCACAUCCUGGGGCUGAAGUAGGUCCCAAGGGUAUGGCUGUUCGCCAUUUAAAGUGGUACGCGAGCUGGGUUUAGAACGUCGUGAGACAGUUCGGUCCCUAUCUGCCGUGGGCGCUGGAGAACUGAGGGGGGCUGCUCCUAGUACGAGAGGACCGGAGUGGACGCAUCACUGGUGUUCGGGUUGUCAUGCCAAUGGCACUGCCCGGUAGCUAAAUGCGGAAGAGAUAAGUGCUGAAAGCAUCUAAGCACGAAACUUGCCCCGAGAUGAGUUCUCCCUGACCCUUUAAGGGUCCUGAAGGAACGUUGAAGACGACGACGUUGAUAGGCCGGGUGUGUAAGCGCAGCGAUGCGUUGAGCUAACCGGUACUAAUGAACCGUGAGGCUUAACCUU